GCCAUUUAAGUCACCGCGGAGGAAGAGUAAAAAAAAAGCGUUUGUUUUAUGAUACAGCUGGUACCGGAUGCGCCUCAGAGGUAUCUUUUAACCUUAAAAGACGGGCUGUUUUGCUGCAUAGCUGGAGCCCCAUAGAGGCUAUUACAAACGGGGCCACUCUCUAUUCACCGAGAGAGGGGAGAGCAGCGCUGGUGGAAGAGGCGGGAGGGGGGGAGGGGGGGGGGGGGGGGGUGCUGAGGAGGAGGGCGAGGGAUGAAGGGAGGAAGGAGGGAGUGUGGGAGAGGAGAAACGUGUAAUCACCCAAACAACCAUUUUUACCCAUUUCACCCCCUCUGGAUCUGUGGCGCAAGUGCGCCGCCGGCUUAUGCGCGCCUCCGCUGCGGAUACGCCGACGUGAGGCCGGACCCCGCGGAAGACGCCGAGAGGGAGAAGAGACGGAGGCCGGAGCGGGACUCAACACACAACAUGUUUGUUACAUAUGUCGGCGGCGCUGCUUUAUUUGAAGAUGAAGACGGAAGUGAGGUUCGGCUCGAGACGAGCGCUCCCGCUCGCAACCGCCGGGACCUCGCUCCGUCAAAGCAAGAUCACAUCUCUUGCACAGGCUCAGAUUACUGGGUGCCUCGCGUGGCGGCCACGUCCGGAGCACAAGCCUGUCACCGGCUCAGUGGGGGCAAUAAUUGCUAUGAAAUGACGUUAUGGACAGCUGGAAGGUAAAUGAGGAUUCCUGUUUUACACUUAGUCGGAUUUCUCCUCACUCCCACCUUUUUUCUGCUCUCACACCACAGCUCUUUUUUUAUGAAUUUAUUGUCACAGAGAUUUUGCUUUCCGAUUCCAGAGAAUGAAGAAGCCAGUAUAUAUAUAUAUUUCUAUUCUGACCCAGGAGACAGAGAGAGGUGAUAGUCAACACAUCGCACACACUUUUACAUCACACAGUCAUUUUAAUUGUUUACCUUCUAUUUCUUCAUUUUGUAUUACAAUUUUUCUCAGUCGCCUUAGUACAAUUCUCAGAUCAGAAUUGAAGUUUGCAAACGUGUGUGCAUUUCUCAAAAGAAUUUGUACAAACAGCAAAACAC
RNAcentral lists this long non-coding RNA (1073 nucleotides) under Betta splendens (Siamese fighting fish). RNAcentral's name for it is "lncRNA (ENSBSLG00000016931.1)". Lineage: Eukaryota; Metazoa; Chordata; Actinopteri; Anabantiformes; Osphronemidae. The record is from RNAcentral.